AAUGGGCGAAAGCCUGAACCAGCCAUGCCGCGUGUAUGAAGAAGGCCCUCGGGUCGUAAAGUACUUUUAUGCAGGAAGAAGCAGUUGUGCGCAACUGUCUGACGGUACUGCACGAAUAAGCACCGGCUAACUCCGUGCCAGCAGCCGCGGUAAUACGGAGGGUGCGAGCGUUGUCCGGAUUUAUUGGGUUUAAAGGGUGCGUGGGUGGUUUAUUAAGUCAGUGGUGAAAGGCAUCGGCUCAACCUGUGAGCUGCCAUUGAUACUGGUAAACUUGAGUACUGUAGGGGUAGGCGGAAUUUGUGGUGUAGCGGUGAAAUGCAUAGAUACCACAAGGAACACCGGCGGCGAAGGCGGCCUACUGGGCAGUUACUGACACUGAUGCACGAAAGCGUGGGGAGCGAACAGGAUU
RNAcentral lists this ribosomal RNA (409 nucleotides) under uncultured Gammaproteobacteria bacterium. RNAcentral's name for it is "bacterial SSU rRNA". It matches the Rfam family "Bacterial small subunit ribosomal RNA", at positions 370 to 779 of the family's 1533-position model. Lineage: Bacteria; Pseudomonadati; Pseudomonadota; Gammaproteobacteria. The record is from RNAcentral.